UGUAAGCCAGGUUGGUUUCUAUCUUUAAUUAGUUAAUAUAUUUUAGUACGAAAGGACCAAGUAUAUAAAUAGUAUUUUAUUUUUUGAUAAAUAUUAUUAUUUUGGCAGAUUAGUGCAAUAGAUUUAGAAUCUUUAAAUGUAAUUUAUUAUUACAGAUAA
RNAcentral lists this transfer RNA (159 nucleotides) under cf. Galerudolphia HS-10. RNAcentral describes it as "partial tRNA-Leu". The record is from RNAcentral. Lineage: Eukaryota; Metazoa; Arthropoda; Insecta; Coleoptera; Chrysomelidae.